Molecule: unclassified non-coding RNA, 290 nt
Filed under: Hevea brasiliensis (rubber tree)
Lineage: Eukaryota; Viridiplantae; Streptophyta; Magnoliopsida; Malpighiales; Euphorbiaceae
Source: RNAcentral
GUUAUAUCUCAAAAAUAAAUUUUAAAUUUUAAAUUUAUCCUUAUUCAUUACAGUCGUCAUACCCAAUGAUAAAAGGAAAUGGCAUUAUAUGACUAGGCUUUUAAUCCAGACUAGGCCCCAUUGGAAUCAUUACUCCGACAAACCUUAAAACUUUUUCAAUAUAAUUGAUUUCCAUUUUGUCCUCAUAUGUACCCUUAUGCUCUUAAUGGUUUAUUUUCUGUUAAUGUUAUUAAUUAAUUAAUUAUCCAUUCAAAGUUUAUUAUUUUUAUAAUAUUUUUUUUUAAUUUGGC